UUUUGUUAUGGAAAACACAAAGACGACCACGCUGGUUACUAUUCCACUUAAGUCAAUCAUUAGAAAAAGUGUGCCAAUAAUUGUGUUUACUUGCAAACAAAAAAUAAUCGACUUGAAUUAUAUAUCGACAAGCAAUAUAUUGUAAUUUUGCUUGUCGUCCAACUUAGUUCGACUAAAAAAUAGUCAAAUAAUACGCAUUAAUAGAGAUAACUCAAAAAUUAAGGUACUCGUAAUAUCUCGGUGAAGUUUAAAUGGAAUCACAUAACAAGCAUCAGACUUCGAAUAAAAAAGAAUCAUUAAAAAUUGGUACACCCAGUAAAA
RNAcentral lists this unclassified non-coding RNA (321 nucleotides) under Melitaea cinxia (Glanville fritillary). RNAcentral describes it as "misc RNA ENSMCXG00005010349.1". Lineage: Eukaryota; Metazoa; Arthropoda; Insecta; Lepidoptera; Nymphalidae. The record is from RNAcentral.